UAAAGAAAGCGUAAUAGCUCACUGGUCGAGUCGGCCUGCGCGGAAGAUGUAACGGGGCUAAACCAUGCACCGAAGCUGCGGCAGCGACACUAUGUGUUGUUGGGUAGGGGAGCGUUCUGUAAGCCUGCGAAGGUGUACUGUGAGGUAUGCUGGAGGUAUCAGAAGUGCGAAUGCUGACAUAAGUAACGAUAAAGCGGGUGAAAAGCCCGCUCGCCGGAAGACCAAGGGUUCCUGUCCAACGUUAAUCGGGGCAGG
RNAcentral lists this ribosomal RNA (255 nucleotides) under Escherichia coli. RNAcentral's name for it is "partial 23S ribosomal RNA". It matches the Rfam family "Bacterial large subunit ribosomal RNA", at positions 1124 to 1378 of the family's 2925-position model. The record is from RNAcentral. Lineage: Bacteria; Pseudomonadati; Pseudomonadota; Gammaproteobacteria; Enterobacterales; Enterobacteriaceae. RNAcentral also lists the same sequence under 1 other name.